AUGCCGCGUGCAGGAUGACGGCCCUAUGGGUUGUAAACUGCUUUUAUACAGGAAGAAACACCCCGACGUGUCGGGACUUGACGGUACUGUAAGAAUAAGGAUCGGCUAACUCCGUGCCAGCAGCCGCGGUAAUACGGAGGAUCCAAGCGUUAUCCGGAAUCAUUGGGUUUAAAGGGUCCGUAGGUGGACAAUUAAGUCAGAGGUGAAAUCCUGCAGCUCAACUGUAGAAUUGCCUUUGAUACUGGUUGUCUUGAGUUAUUAUGAAGUAGUUAGAAUAUGUAGUGUAGCGGUGAAAUGCAUAGAUAUUACAUAGAAUACCAAUUGCGAAGGCAGAUUACUAAUAAUGAACUGACACUGAUGGACGAAAGCGUGGGGAGCGAACAGGAUUAGAUACCCUGGUAGUCCACGCCGUAAACGAUGGUUACUAGUUGUUCGGAUUUCGGUCUGAGUGACUAAGCGAAAGUGAUAAGUAACCCACCUGGGGAGUACGUUCGCAAGAAUGAAACUCAAAGGAAUUGACGGA
Molecule: ribosomal RNA, 523 nt
Filed under: Bizionia paragorgiae
Lineage: Bacteria; Pseudomonadati; Bacteroidota; Flavobacteriia; Flavobacteriales; Flavobacteriaceae
Description: bacterial SSU rRNA
Rfam family: Bacterial small subunit ribosomal RNA
Source: RNAcentral